Molecule: long non-coding RNA, 2046 nt
Filed under: Homo sapiens (human)
Lineage: Eukaryota; Metazoa; Chordata; Mammalia; Primates; Hominidae
Description: non-protein coding lnc-GNRHR-2:1
Source: RNAcentral
GCCGCAGGCUGGUCCCAAGCAGCGGAGGCCGCAGAGCUGAGUGACGCCCCAAGUGCUGGAUGCCUCAGCUGGAGGCCAUCUGCAAGCUGGGCUGCUAUCACUCGCUGGGAGAGGCAGUGAGGCCAGAGCGCCACCCAGUGCCCCUGGGCACGCCUGCAGCUGCCCUGCCUGCUGCUCUGCCUGGCUGACCCAGCACCAGCAGAGAGUGCAGCACUCUGGCUGCACACCUGCUGGGCCUAGGCCUGCAGCAUGCCAUGCAGCCCUCCUGAGGCCCUACAUAGCUCAGAGGCUCAUUGAUGAUAUCCCUCAAGUCUGCUGUCUCAGUGCAGGGGCUGGAUGCUUUGUCUGUGGGACUGCUACUCCUUUCUUUUCAUAAGUUUAUCCUAUUGUUGCUGAGCAGCUUAAUUGACAAAAUGCCUGAAAUCAGAGGGAUUUCAUCUGCCGAAAACUGGUGUCUAACUGUAAGCAAAAGUUGGUUUACGGUGGCAAAAGGAGAAUGAAGGGGAUCCGAAGGACAAACCUGACUUUGCCUCUCUUCUACCCUCCACCCCACUAUCCUCUGGAAGAGAGUUGCCCGGUGUUGGGAGCUCAGGAGUGUCUUCAGAAAUCUCUCCACGAAGCUUCCUGCCAUCUGUCAUGAAAUCUCCUCACAAGACCACAUCAGGGAACAUCUCAAAAUCAUCCUCAGAACCCUGCACCAAUCAUGUGCUGAUGAGAAGCCGGUGGUGAGCAGUUGUACAAGAUCCACAGAGCUUGAUGGGAAUUUGUCAACCCCCAAAUGUUUCUAAAGUUGAUCUUAUAGAUGCUGAAAAUGUCACCCUCCCUUUCCGGCCUCUUGUGCCUUGCUCCUGUCAUUCGAAGCUGCCCAUCUGAAGCCCUCUAGCCUCAACCUGAAGGUUAUUGCCAUGGAUCUGGCCCAGAUGCACGCCUGUCAAGGACCUGGAAAUGACCUUUACAUUGAAGCAUCUGCUGCUCUGUGUGCAGGCUCUGAUUUCAGUGUGUCAGGAGGACUGCAGUGGGUCCAGCUUGUAGCUCAUGGAAGUGCUGGUGAUGAUAAUGGCUGGCUCAGGUGCCACAGGCCUCCAUGGCAAGGUUUAGGAGACAAUGAACUCGAUGGUUGCAGUGGAGAAGUCAAUGUCAGCCAGGAUUUCUGUGGGAAAUACACAGAUGUGGUCAACCACAUCACACAACGACUGGACUAUGUACUCUGCAGAACUUAUGCAGCUCAACGUACUUGUCACUCAGGCUCUGUUGUAAAAGAAGUGCCACAACACUUGGUCCCCACACCCAAUGCCUAUCUCCAGCCAGCCAGAGACCUGCAGAUGUGUCUAAAACUUUUUUCCAUCCUGUCCAAAGUGCUGCUGAGGCCAAAGGACACCAUCACCUCCCAAAGGCAGUUUCACAGCUACCCUGAGACAGUGAUAAAGGACAUCUGCAAAGGCAUGUGGGAGGACAGCCAUUGUGUCCUGCCUCUGGGUGCUCCCUAGCUGCAAGGUCCUGUUGGUCAAACAGAUACAGGAAGUGUAGUAGGGAAUACUGAUACCUCAAAUUCUGACCACCCUGGAAGAAUAUUCUCAACUGACUUAGUUAAUUCCAUGCAAAAUUAUUAUUAUUAUUAUUUUUUUAACAGGAAAAUAUUCUGAUUUUAAAAUUAAUACAUAUAUUUUUUAAAACCUCUGGUGAUGUGAUUAAUGCAGAUAAAUUCAUUGAGAUUUACCCUGAACUCUAAAAACAUCUAGAUGACAUUUUCAACAACAUAAUAAUAGCAGCUGCAUCCACCUUAAUCACCUGGCUGAAAUGCAUCAAAAGCACUGAUAGAUAGUCUUAUCAUCAAAACAACAUUCAAUAUCUGUAUAAGGAACUCCUUGUUCAUCUUGAUGAUUCAGAGAGCGCCAUCCAGGAAGCAAUUUUAGAGGUCCUUUAAGAUGGCGGCAUCCUAUCCUCAGAUCUGAUGAGGGAGACUGAUGCUGUCAUCUACAAGCAGCACUCUGCAUUGGCUGGGAGCAGCAUCUGUAGCACAUGCAGGCCUUGCUGGCCACACAGUGA